UCAAGAUUGUAUCUGCGCAUGCUUGGAGUUAUGUAACUGUUGUCACGUUACCAAGAGUUACCAAGUAUGUAGAAAGUUUUUUAAACAAAGAGAUUCACAAGUUUUUUUUAAAUUCACUGAGCAACAUUGCGGGCAGGACCUUUUACUCCUGACCAAUCUGCCAAAACCACCGCCGCCUAUUGCUGCAACCACUGGCCGGAUUGUUCCAUCAAUCAAAUCUCAGGAAGUAGUUUGAAGAGGAGAAGGGAAGUAAUUUCUUCAAAGUAACUAGAAUAUAAUGAUCAACCUGAAGGUGGAGGGGAAGUAAGAUUACUAGAAAGCAGAAUUCUGCCAGACAACCACAGGACCCAAGAGACCUCUACAUGCUGUAACAUGGGCCUGGAUGGUGAGGCACAACUGCUUCUGGCUGCCUUACUGAAUAUUGCGGCCUUCAGUGGUACAGUAAGAGUCUCUACAUCUCUUUCUCGUAGCCAUUUAACAUGUCAUCAUGAGGCUCCAGUUCAGCAAUGCAUGCUUCCAGCAGGAUGCACAGACAACUAUGGUUUGUAUGCCCUACUGAAGGACCCUACUGUGCGGAAUAGGUGGUUGUAGUUCGUUGGUCCCCAAUGGUGAGACGAUCCAGUAUCUUUGAUGAGGGGCCAGGAGCUGAUAUACGCUGCUAUGCCCAUAAAUGUGGCUCCGGCAAAGACCUCACCUCUUGCCUGCUCACCAACGGUUGUCGAUGGGGAGAACAAAAUUAGAUACCUUUAUGGAGACAGCACUUGGGAGACUUCCAAGAUGAUAUGAUGAAGUCCAGACUGACGAGACAGGCUUGAUGCUGAUGUCUCUGAAUGGAUCAAGACCUUGCACUCAGCAAUAUAAUUAUACAGGACACAUCUAUUUGAAGUCUGAAUCCCGUUUGGGUGAAAGAUCGUCCAUUGACAGACUUCUUGGGGAAUGCUUGGCAGAUUAGCUGGUUAGCCUAGCUAUAAACGUAGCUGGCUAGCUAACUUCAACGGCAAUAACAGAAACACUUAACCGCUAAAACAUAUGGACUCCUGUAGAAAUCUACGCAGUGGUGAGGAAAAGCAUAGAGCUAAAUAUAUCAAAGAAAGAAAGUGCCAAUCCAAAGAUGGAUGAAAUGAAGCUGAGUAAUGAAAAAUAAAUGAAUAACAAAGUUAACAGCUUACGUGGAUAAAGCCAUCCAGGAUAAUCAUACAGUUUUGCUGACUCAACUGGAGAAUAAUAACAAGCAGCUACAUGACCACAUAGCUCUUGAAGUUGGAUGUCUCCAGACUCGUGUAGAAUUCCUAGAAUCUUGGAGAAUAGGCGCUGCCAAAACAACUAAGUUCCACUAAGACGUGUCUGUCAUAGUUGCAGGACUGCCAGCUGAUGAAAACGAGGACUUAAUCUCCAAGGUGAACCAGCUGAUAUUGGUAGGCUGCGAAACUGAGUUGAUUGCAGUUGAGAGGAUGGGGGAGAGAGGUAAAGGUCCUGGGGUCGUGAAGGUGGGGUGUCACCCCAUGAAGGAGAAAGUGGCGAAUAACAAUACUAAAAUCCUUAAACCCAUACGUUAUCUCAAUAAAUGAAACAUUUGCGUUGGCAAGAAACCUCUUUUACAUGCACUCAAUUAGUAUUUGGUAGCAUUGCCUUUAAAUUGAUAAACAUGGGUCAAACAUUUUGGGUAGCCUUCCACAAGCUUACCACAAUAAGUUGGGUGAAUUUUGGCCCAUUCCUCCUGACAGAGCUGGUGUAACUGAGUCCGGUUCGUACACCACCUUGCUCAUACACGCUUUUUCAGUUCUGCCCACAAAUUUUCUUUAGGAUUGAGGUCAGGGCUUUGUGAUGGCCACUCCAAUACCUUGACUUUGUUGUCCU
Long non-coding RNA from Oncorhynchus kisutch (coho salmon), 1857 nucleotides. RefSeq lists it as uncharacterized. NCBI's taxonomy places the organism in Eukaryota, Metazoa, Chordata, Actinopteri, Salmoniformes, Salmonidae. The transcript has 5 exons. The record is from RefSeq and is a predicted model, not a curated record.